Molecule: long non-coding RNA, 581 nt
Organism: Scylla paramamosain (green mud crab)
Lineage: Eukaryota; Metazoa; Arthropoda; Malacostraca; Decapoda; Portunidae
Exons: 2
Source: RefSeq, a predicted model, not a curated record
AGCUUGAAGCUGCCUGCAGAAAUAGGCAAAACAGCAACUGACGAAAGAAUAAAGUUGAAGGAAACUGGAGUUUCCCUGCAAAACAAGCUAUCAAGAAGACCUAUACAAUUCAAAGUGUCUGGCUAAGAGUUGGAGAUCUGGCAGAGAAGCUGUGGCCAGAGGAAGGAGGCUUGGCUGCUGCACCAGACCCAUAGACCACAUCUUUGGAGUGGCUUUGGCCUUGAGGUGCAGCCAGGUAGCUGUAGCUCACCACCUGCCAGAGAAAAGCUUUUUUAACCUCACUGCCUGCCAGGGAAGAGCUUUUUUAAUUUCCAUUUUAAUCUUACAUGAUUAAGGUCAUAUGAUUAAUAGUUAUACCAUCUUCUGUAUAUCUAGCCUGGAGGUUGAGAUGUGAUGGAAUGAUUCCAAAUGUGAAUGUAUACCAUAUUAAAUCCUUGUCUCUACUUUCCUCCAAAUGAGAUCCAUGGGCCUUGUAAAAAAAAGUUGGGAGUCCAAUCUUUUAAAACUAGUAACUCUAAUAUUAGAGAUUUGAGAGACAGAAUGAAGCAUAAUUAAAGCUUUGAUAAGCAUUUAUAAAUCUG